Suncus etruscus (white-toothed pygmy shrew) is the source of this 102-nucleotide small nuclear RNA. Lineage: Eukaryota; Metazoa; Chordata; Mammalia; Eulipotyphla; Soricidae. The record is from RefSeq and is a predicted model, not a curated record.
AUGUACUCAAUUCAGCGCUAUUCAAGCUGGAACAAUGCAGAGGAUAUUAGCUUGGCUCUUGUGCAAGGAUAACUAGCAAAUCAUGAAGUGUUCAAUAUUUUU